UACGUAGGGUGCGAGCGUUGUCCGGAAUUAUUGGGCGUAAAGAGCUUGUAGGCGGUUUGUCGCGUCUGCCGUGAAAAUCCGGGGCUCAACCCCGGACUUGCGGUGGGUACGGGCAGACUAGAGUGUGGUAGGGGAGACUGGAAUUCCUGGUGUAGCGGUGGAAUGCGCAGAUAUCAGGAGGAACACCAAUAGCGAAGGCAGCUCGCUGGGACGGUACUGACGCUAAGGCGCGAAAGCGUGGGGAGCGAACAGG
This 253-nucleotide ribosomal RNA is filed under the name uncultured bacterium. Its description in RNAcentral is "partial 16S ribosomal RNA". It matches the Rfam family "Bacterial small subunit ribosomal RNA", at positions 524 to 776 of the family's 1533-position model. The record is from RNAcentral.